GCUUACGGCCAUACCACCCUGAGCACGCCCGAUCUCGUCUGAUAUCGGAAGCUAAGCUGUGUCGGGCCUGGUUAGUACUUGAAUGGGAGACCGCCUGGGAAUACCAGGUGCUGCAAGCU
This 119-nucleotide ribosomal RNA is filed under the name Betta splendens (Siamese fighting fish). Lineage: Eukaryota; Metazoa; Chordata; Actinopteri; Anabantiformes; Osphronemidae. The record is from RNAcentral.